GUCGUGUUUACACUACCAGCCUUGGCCUACAUUUUGACAGUGUAAACAGACUCUGGCCUAGCCUUGGCCUGACCUAGGCCAGGAAAUCUGGGCUCACUACAACCGGUGGCCUAGGCCUGGCCUAUAGGCUUGUGGAAAUGUAAACACUUUCGGCCUGGGCGUUAUUUUCAUGGCAACGUGUGUCCACAGUGAGAGAUUAGCGGACAACCAGCGGCGGACAACG
Paramuricea clavata is the source of this 223-nucleotide non-coding RNA. The record is from the annotation of a GenBank genome assembly. NCBI's taxonomy places the organism in Eukaryota, Metazoa, Cnidaria, Anthozoa, Malacalcyonacea, Plexauridae.